GAAUAUUCAUGUCCCUGCACACAUGGCUUGAAACAGUCAGAAGACUGGUGUUUAGGGGAAAGAGUUCAGUUGUAUCAGGCUAUUUAGGGGGCUAUCUGCAAGAAUGCAGGGACAUUUCUCACACUAGUCCACUUGCUUACUAAUAUGAAAAACUAAUGAUUAAAGCAUCUGAUCUACCGAGGGCUGUGAGAUUAUUAGACCAAGCUUGUGAAACUUUUUUGUCACUGUCUGGAAAAGUCAGACUUCUCUGGAUGUUGCAGUUGAAUUUUUUUCCCCUCCUCAGAGGAUGUGGUAUGGCUUCAGCCAAUAAUUCAGAAUCAUCAGAGAGUGACACGGCAUCAAAGCAACACUAAAUGUACAGAUCCUCUUCUUCGCCUGGGCUAUGUGAGUUGCAACUACCUUUAAGCAAGUUUCUGAGCUUUUCUUACUUGUUUCCAGUGAACAUGCUUCUUCCUUUACCCAGACUGACAAAGUAGCAAAAAUGAGACAGUAUCACGCUCUGCUGGUUCAGCUGCAAUUUACAUGGUGCUGUCGGCCCAUUUUCUUGCUUGAUGCUUGAGUGUGACUGAUGAUACAAGUCUCAACACAGAGCUGGGAACAGCAUCAGAUUACCAAGCAAGAGAAGCUUCCACAAGGAGCCCUAGUAACUCAAUGCUAUAAAACGCACCAAUGAUUCCAGUCUUAAGGUUAUAUGGCAAUGUACAAAAGAAAGGAAGAUACUGAAGAAUUUCUCACAACGACAAUCCCUGCCCCAAGGAGUUUAUGAAAAUACUACUAUUGUCACUGCAUUCUAAUUGAGAUUGGUCUCUGCUGGAUUUUUUAAAUCUGGACUCUGGCUCUUCUAAAUAAAGUUCUGCAUAACAAU
Chelonoidis abingdonii (Abingdon island giant tortoise) is the source of this 865-nucleotide long non-coding RNA. RefSeq lists it as uncharacterized. The record is from RefSeq and is a predicted model, not a curated record. Lineage: Eukaryota; Metazoa; Chordata; Testudines; Testudinidae.